Molecule: long non-coding RNA, 884 nt
Organism: Lathyrus oleraceus (garden pea)
Lineage: Eukaryota; Viridiplantae; Streptophyta; Magnoliopsida; Fabales; Fabaceae
Exons: 2
Source: RefSeq, a predicted model, not a curated record
UUCUCUAUCAAAUUCAAAAUUUUGGAUAACUUUGCCCCCACCAAAAUUUUCAAUUGUUUUUUGUUUUACUUUUGUUUUCCACGUGUACACAACACUUUUAAAAUUAACACUUUCAGUUUCCACUUCUUCGGACUUCUUCCAUUUUUUAUGCUCUUUAUAUCUAACCGGAAUUUUUCUCCGACGUUACCACCGUACCGGAAUUCUCCUUCCGCCGUCGUCUUCUUCUCCGUCAAAGCAUGAAGGCACUGGUCUUGGUCAUUGCAUUGUCUGGAAAUUGGUGAGUUAGAUCUUAAACAAGUAAAGUGUGAUAUCAUUCAUAAUAAAUGGUAUUGAUAAAAUGACACUGUUGUUUAUUUUAGAAGAGUAAAAUAGAGUUCCAUGCCAUGGUUUAGAAAUUGACUUUGAGUAAGUCCUUUUCUAUUACUAAGUAGAUGGUGAGUUUGUUCCCAUCAUAGUGUUUAUUGUUGAUUGCCGAAAAACGUGAGAAUAUUUAGGAGUAUGUUGAAACCAAAUUUGAGUUAUGCAAAAUCGACAGAGAUUGUAUAUCGCUAAACAUGAAGUUGAAGUAGACAUUGACGAUUAACUAGAUGACAUGAUUAGUGAUAUUGGUUAAAAGUCUUUUCAACAACAUAUGGAUGAUACUUUGAGCAAAGCAGUGACACGGAAUAGUUCUUUUAUUUGAUGUACAAUAUUUUUCACACAGUUUAUUGUUGAUGGACAAAAGUUUCAGUGAAAUUUUUAACUUGUUUAAAGACAUGCUUUCAAAAUUUAAUACAUUGUCGUAUUGUAAUUAUGAGUAGAAGAAGAUUUUUUGACCGAUGGAUAUCAGGUAUUAGAAAUUGUGUAUGCCCUUAUGAUUAUAUAUUGAGAAAAAAAAUUGAAGA